This is a long non-coding RNA of Cucumis melo (muskmelon), 443 nucleotides long. RefSeq lists it as uncharacterized. The record is from RefSeq and is a predicted model, not a curated record. The transcript has 2 exons. Lineage: Eukaryota; Viridiplantae; Streptophyta; Magnoliopsida; Cucurbitales; Cucurbitaceae.
UAGUGUUAAGAAAUAUAAUUAUGGCUCUGCAGCAAAGGUGUGGCAAUAAUAAUCUUGGUCUUGUUGCUGUUUUCAUAGUUCUAAUGGUGGUUUCUUCCCCUGAUCUCAUGCUAAUUACUACCUCCCAUGCAGCUCGUUUGGCCAAAAUAGAUCCCCCAAUGUGUCCUCAAUGCAUGUGUUGUAGUUCUCCACCACCAGGCUUUUGCUGUGAUUGUUGCUCCAAUUCUCAGUUGCCACCAUGAAUAUAAUUCAUUCUCGUUACAUAUGUAACGUAAGACGUAAUAUUGUUAAAUCUUUCAUAAUCCAUCGUAUAUUGGAUUAAUUAAGCUUUAUAUACAUAUAUAUAUCUAUGUAACUUCUAAACAAUAACCUUUUAGUUACUUUAUUUUUCGUUGUGUGUGUAACCUACUGCUUAUUGAUAUAUAUAAUAUUAUUAUAUUGAA